Sphaerobolus stellatus SS14 is the source of this 90-nucleotide non-coding RNA. The record is from the annotation of a GenBank genome assembly. Lineage: Eukaryota; Fungi; Basidiomycota; Agaricomycetes; Geastrales; Sphaerobolaceae.
UCUUUGAUGGUAUAGUGGUUAGUAUUUGUGUCUGUCAUGAGCCGUAACUCAAGGUUGCGUGAGACCAGUGUUCAAUUCCCCGCUUGAGGG